This 767-nucleotide long non-coding RNA is filed under the name Daphnia pulex (common water flea). RNAcentral describes it as "uncharacterized LOC124199893, transcript variant X2". The record is from RNAcentral. Lineage: Eukaryota; Metazoa; Arthropoda; Branchiopoda; Diplostraca; Daphniidae.
AGGAGCUAUCGCUUACUUCCGGUAUACUUCCGGAAAAUUUGCAUGAAACUAACAAGUGAGCUUUGUUCUCUGUAAAAUUCUAAAGAUUCCAUGCUAAUUUAAGCAAAGAGAAAUGGUCUUUUUGAUUACUUUUAUGACUUGUGACUAUCUAAGGCCAGUCCUUUAGAAAUUGAGUUUUGAACGUGUCAAAUAGAUGGCGUGAAAGAAUGUUGUUUGUUGUGUCACAUAUGGGUUAAUGGCAGUUCGUUGUCAAAAGUUCAGCUACAGCUAUCUUCUUCGUAAAUUACCAAUGAAUUCGUUGGAAAAAAUGUGAAAGGUGCAUGAAGCCAGUACCAUCAACUAUUGUGUUAAAAAUCCUGGUAUCCUACGGAAUAUGUCAUCCAAAUGACAGAGUGGAUUCAUCACUAUUAUCGGCUGAAUCAUUCUAUGGGACUUGCCAGAUCACCAACCCAAGCAUGGACCAAUUUCUCAUUCCAUCUUCUAGAGAAUCUUACAUAACUGAUUGGUGGUUUAGUGUGUUUUAGGUUUCUAAUGUAGCAUGAUAGACUUUAUGAGAAGUCAUGUUAUUUGAAGAAAAAGGACUAUACAGUCGACAAGGUUUUUUGCUAACCCGUUGGCUGCUACCCUUGAAUCUCCCUGUUUACUUCCUUACACAGGUCCUCUUGAUUUGAGGGUAAUCCUUCGCUACUGAUCAUACACCCACUUGUGAAAACCGACAAGAGAAUGCUGUAAUUCAAGACUGAUACAUUGUGUAGUUGUUAGAUAAA